RNAcentral lists this microRNA precursor (84 nucleotides) under Mystacornis crossleyi. RNAcentral's name for it is "mir-143 microRNA precursor family". It matches the Rfam family "mir-143 microRNA precursor family". The record is from Rfam by way of RNAcentral. RNAcentral also lists the same sequence under 3 other names. Lineage: Eukaryota; Metazoa; Chordata; Aves; Passeriformes; Timaliidae.
UGUCUCCCAGCCCAAGGUGCAGUGCUGCAUCUCUGGUCAACUGGGAGUCUGAGAUGAAGCACUGUAGCUCGGGAAGGGAGGAAC